Marmota monax (woodchuck) is the source of this 2757-nucleotide long non-coding RNA. RefSeq lists it as uncharacterized. NCBI's taxonomy places the organism in Eukaryota, Metazoa, Chordata, Mammalia, Rodentia, Sciuridae. The transcript has 5 exons. The record is from RefSeq and is a predicted model, not a curated record.
GGACACAACCCAAUGCCUUUAUUUUUAUGUGGUGCUGAGGAUCGAACCUGGGUCCCGCCUGUGCUAGGCGAGUGCUCUACCGCUGAGCCACAAUCCCAACCCCUUUUUGCUUUUUUUGAUUAUUUAUUUGUUUAUUGACUGUCUUCCCCUCUGCAGAGGAUGCAAGUCCCAUUAGGUCAGGGACCCUUGUCUUUACUUGUGUGUCCUGGCCCCACACCGAUGCUCAAUUAAGCUUUUCUGAGUAAAUGGUAAAAUGGUGGAAUGAGGCUAUGAAACCAGGUGACUUUUCUCCAGGCGCUCUUAACUAAAUCAGGAGGCAGUGUUGUGUUGUUCAGGGAUUAUCUCCAUGACCGCUGCUUUCUACUAUUACCCAAGCCUGAAUGAAGGCUCAGCCUCGCACACCUGUGAGGUCACUUAGCAGGCAUCUUACCGUAGUUACUUGGCUUCCUUAUCUCUCUCUUCCAAGGACAGAUUUUACUCUUGUAUUCCCCAAGUCACCUCUGCCUGCCUCACUGAGCCAUUGUUCUGACAACAGUAACAUCCCAACACUUUCCUCUAUAAAAAGCACCAGCAAAGGCAGCAGUGGACCCAAGGGCCCAGGGAAGGGUUCCGGUAGGAUCCACUCCUGGAGAGGCUGUCCCCAUAUCAGUCUGAGCUUGGGUCAGCUGCCUUCCUGCUGUCCCACCUGUAGACACAGAGUGGAACCAAACCACAUGCCUUCCCACUUCUUCACCUCACAUCGCUUUGUAACUCUGUGGCUGCGAACUUCUCAACUGUCCUGUCAAGUUUCAUGAUAAAAUUGUACUUCUAGAAAGCAGAUCCCACCUGUGCUCUGGCUAAUUUCUUCUUUGGCUUUGUACAAAAGGUGCUAUGUUUCUGGCUUUCCUCAGGCCCCAAGCACUGUAUGUGUGCAUGUGUUUAAACAAGUUUAGAUCCCAUACAUUUCAUUCAUUUUAAGCACACAAUGAAAUGGACUUUAAAAAUUUCACCCAGUUGUGCAGCCAACACCACAAUCCAGUUUCAAAAUCAAUCCCAUCACCCCAGGAAGGUCCCUCAUACUCAUUUACAGUCAGUCCCCACCUUACCUUAUUCCAGGCAUCCACUAAUCUACUUUGUCUCUACAGAUUCACUUAUUUUGGACAUUUAAUAUCAACGGAAUCAUUCCACAAGUCUGACUUUUUCUACUUAGCAUAAUGCUUCUGAGUUUCAUCCAUGCUGAAGUGUGUACAAUAUUUUGUUCUUUUUUUAUACAGUAUCCCGGGUGUGUGGUUAUAAAUGGGAUUAAAUGAACAGUUCUGGUCAAUGGGUCCUAUGCAACUCUAGGUGUCUCCUGGAGAAGUCCUAGACCCUGGUCACAGGGCUCCCUCAGCUCUCUGAGGAACCUUUCUGCAAUUCUGUCUUGGUAGGAGGCCAAGUCUUUUGUAGUGGGCAUCAAGGUACCUUAAAGAUCCGAUGUCCUCAAAUCAAUGUCCUUUAGAGGUCCUGGGUCUCCUUAUUAGACUGAAAGCUCUUGGCAGGGAGAAACUGGGUUUUCAAUUGCUCCUGUCUUUUCUCAGUCUCCCAAGAGCAGUGCUGAGAAGAAAGCAAGUGUUUGAUAGAUGUGUGUGUGUGUGAAGCAGAGACACAGUGGAGGGACUGCAGAUAGUCCCUCCACUCCCUCUCCAUUCCUUCAGCCUCACUGCCUGGUGCCAGCUGUGCACUUUAGGGCUGCAGUACUGCACAGGUGUACAAGAAGAGGGUGGCUGUGCCACCUCCUCAGGGGCUGUGUGUCACGAGCCAUUCGUGGAUUGCAUGUGGGUCACUGAGCAUGGAAGCCUCGUGGAUAGAGACAUUUGGUGUCUGGGAAUAACCAAAGGACAUUUCCUCUGGUCAAUUGCCCAGGGAAAAUGUGAAUCUUUCCCGCUCUGCAGUGGCCCAGCCCACACAGCACCUAAGAUGGUAUGACCUGCAGAGAUGUCAAGCAACUUGCUGACUUCAAGACAUCAGGAAGCAAGACUCUGCCCUUGAAACCUUGUCCCUGCCUUUGAGAACAGAAGAUCUGGCAAUCGGGUUUCAUGUGUGGAAGGACAAGCACCCUCUAGCUCCGACUAGGUGAGCGUUCUUCACCCAUGCUCCUUCACACUGCCAGCCUGGCUCUGAGGCUCUUGAAACCAAGUCCCUUUAAAAUAUGAUGCCCAGCAAGGAUCAUUCCUGGAAUGCACAAAGGUUAAGUAAAGCAGGAGGUAUAAACCAACAACAGCAAAGAGAAUUGUAGAAGAAACCACCAUAUAUUCAGAUGUUGGCAAUACCUUUUUUUUUUAAAUGUAAAAUCAGUAGAGAAGAGGAAACUGCCAUUAGAGAAAGGUGGAGAUCCUGUAUGGGAGACUGAGGAAGAAGUAAAAUGACUGCCACCAUGGAAGGCCCAGACUUGGGAACACUAGUACCUCCUACAGCAAUGGAAGAAGCCAGAAGACAGUUGAACAUCUGUAACAGAAAAGACUAUCGUGGCCCACGGAAGCACCACAAGGAAAGGAGACUGCAGUGUUCUCAUCUUUCCAAAAACCCCAAAGCAGUAUUACCAUCUGCUUGAGGUUCAGAUAGAGCCUCUUCCCCCUGCUCUCAUCUCACGCACCCUGCAUAUAACACGAGUUGGAGGAGCGAGUGCUCGCUGUGCAUCAGGCCAGGAGUCUCUCUGUCCCUGCUACUCAACUCUGCCAUUGUUGCUUGAAAGCAGCCAUCAACAAAAGGUAAAUGAAUGAACUUGACUGUGUUCCAAGA